Molecule: long non-coding RNA, 1995 nt
Filed under: Mytilus galloprovincialis (Mediterranean mussel)
Lineage: Eukaryota; Metazoa; Mollusca; Bivalvia; Mytilida; Mytilidae
Source: RNAcentral
CAAGGUCGGAAUACAACAUAAAAUUUAAUAAGUAAACAUAAUAAAAAGUUAUCUAUACAAUAUUUGUUGUAACCACCCAUAUGUAGAUACACCACGUUAUUUUUCACGGCUACUUUAAGGAUGUACUUAGGUGAGAUUUUGGAAUAAGUGUCAAAUUUUCGAACUCCCAAUCUUUUUCCAUACGAUACAAGGUAAAAUAUGUUGCCCUAUAGCACCCAUUUAUCUUUUAACAUAAGACGUAAUUGCUCGUAAAAGGUAAUUUGACAAAAUUUAAGCAGAUUCUCGAUUUUCUUUCUUUUAAAUUGAGACCCAAAUUAUACCAAUGGAAAUAUAAGGUAAAGGUCCAAGUCAGCCGUUUCCCGCCAUAUUUUUUUAAUCAAAUAUCUCGAACAGUAGCUCCAAGACCUAUCCAUACUUUAAGCUUAUUUUGAUCCUUAACUAAUAUUUCUCCUGCAUAAAGUAUCAAUUUUGAAUAUUUGAUCUAUUUAAUUACCUAAGAUCAACUAAGUACAUCCUAAAUGUAAACUGACAUGUAUAGGCAGAGGAAAAUAUGUCAAAUGUCAUUUUAAUAUUCUUUAUGUUUUAGUUUCAGAACCCCGUCCGGCCUUCUUAGCAGUGUGGACAGCAAUUAUUGAUUAUUUGAGGAGCAGUGAUAUAAUCAAAUUUAACAAAGUUGUCACAAACAUAGGCAAUGAUUAUAGUCCCAGUACAGGAAAAUUCAAAGCCCCAAAACAAGGUACCUACUUUUUUGGAGGUACAGUAAUGUCUGCUCCCCUAGUCCACUUAGUAUGAAGUUGAUGAAAAGUGGAACAUCAAUAAUGAAUCCCUAUGCAAGCCAAACACAAGGGGAUAGUUACACGUUUACCGCCGUCUUGCAAUUGAAUGUAGGAGAUACCGUUUAUGUCGAGAAAGAUAAUAGACUGGGAGCGGAAAAGGCGUUUGGGCUUUCCCAUUCUACAUUAUCUGGAUUCAUGAUAUCUGAACCUGAAAACUGAACUGUCUGUACAUAAUAUAUUGGGAUUUCCAAAUGCAAAUUAUAUUGCUUAUUUCUCCUGUAGCCAGUUAUAAGUUUAGUCAGUUAGUAAGUUUCCAGAUAAACUGAUGGCAAACUAUCCAAAACUUCGUAACAAAAAAUAUUUAAUAGUCACAUGAGAUAACAGACAUAUCAAAAUACUACACAUGAGAUAACAGACAUAUCAAAAUACUACACAUGAGAUAACAGAAGCAUCAAAUCACCACACAUGAGAUAACAGAAGUAUCAAAUCACCACACAUGAGAUAACAGACAUAUCAAAUCACCCCACAUGAGAUAACAGAAGUAUCAAAUCACCACACAUGAGAUAACAGAAGUAUCAAAUCACCACACAUGAGAUAACAGAAGUAUCAAAUCACCACACAUGAGAUAACAGACAUAUCAGAACACCACAAAUGAGAUAACAAAAGUAUUAAAACACCCCACAUGAGAUAACAGAAGUAUAAAAUCACCACGUAACAGAUAACCGAGAUGUCAAACUGCCAUUUCCGAGGAAACAAGAAAUUACAAACUGUCAACGUCUUAAAAUGAACUGAACACACCUGCAUAGAUAUUGCUUCGCUUACAUCAUGUACAUAUUAGUGCACAAAUAAAUACUUAUUUCAAAUUUACUUGAUUUGCGUUUUUUUUUAUUGUUCUUAAGUCCGUCGGGAUAAGAUAUUCACAUUCCCAAAAAAAAAAAAAAAAAAACCCAACAAAACCAAAAAAAAAACACACACACAAAAGCUUGUUCCAAAUUCAAAGAAUGUGUGCAUUGUUCCGAACAUAGGCGUCGGUAUAUUUGGAGACUGACAUAUGCGUUGUAUUUGGAUCUGUAUUACGCAUGCAUAUCUUCACGCAUCAAAUGAAAUAUUUCUAAAUCACGAUAAAAAAAAAUACAGUAACCCAGCGACGAACACUUGUAAAAUAAAUUUAAAUUAUUUUAUAGCGAUAAGCAUACAGAGGGGGGAAAUUUGAAAAGCC